AAGAUUUUAGGUUAUAUUAGACCAUAGGCCUUCAAAGCCUGAAGAGAGGUAUACUUCAAAUCUUG
This 65-nucleotide transfer RNA is filed under the name Marisa cornuarietis. RNAcentral describes it as "tRNA-Trp". It matches the Rfam family "tRNA". From Rfam's summary of the family: Transfer RNA (tRNA) molecules are approximately 80 nucleotides in length. Their secondary structure includes four short double-helical elements and three loops (D, anti-codon, and T loops). Further hydrogen bonds mediate the characteristic L-shaped molecular structure. tRNAs have two regions of fundamental functional importance: the anti-codon, which is responsible for specific mRNA codon recognition, and the 3' end, to which the tRNAs corresponding amino acid is attached (by aminoacyl-tRNA synthetases). tRNAs cope with the degeneracy of the genetic code in two manners: having more than one tRNA (with a specific anti-codon) for a particular amino acid; and 'wobble' base-pairing, i.e. permitting non-standard base-pairing at the 3rd anti-codon position. Lineage: Eukaryota; Metazoa; Mollusca; Gastropoda; Architaenioglossa; Ampullariidae. The record is from RNAcentral.